Molecule: ribosomal RNA, 464 nt
Filed under: uncultured bacterium
Lineage: Bacteria
Description: partial 16S ribosomal RNA
Rfam family: Bacterial small subunit ribosomal RNA
Source: RNAcentral
CUACGGGGGGCACCAGUGGGGAAUAUUGCACAAUGGGCGCAAGCCUGAUGCAGCCAUGCCGCGUGUAUGAAGAAGGCCUUCGGGUUGUAAAGUACUUUCAGCGGGGAGGAAGGGAGUAAAGUUAAUACCUUUGCUCAUUGACGUUACCCGCAGAAGAAGCACCGGCUAACUCCGUGCCAGCAGCCGCGGUAAUACGGAGGGUGCAAGCGUUAAUCGGAAUUACUGGGCGUAAAGCGCACGCAGGCGGUUUGUUAAGUCAGAUGUGAAAUCCCCGGGCUCAACCUGGGAACUGCCUCUGAUACUGGCAAGCUUGAGUCUCGUAGAGGGGGGUAGAACUCCAGGUGUAGCGGUGAAAUGCGUAGAGAUCUGGAGGAAUACCGGUGGCGAAGGCGGCCCCCUGGACGAAGACUGACGCUCAGGUGCGAAAGCGUGGGGAGCAAACAGGAUUAGAUACCCCGGUAGUC